This 208-nucleotide ribosomal RNA is filed under the name uncultured bacterium. RNAcentral describes it as "partial 16S ribosomal RNA". It matches the Rfam family "Bacterial small subunit ribosomal RNA", at positions 568 to 774 of the family's 1533-position model. The record is from RNAcentral.
AGCGCGGGCGGGAAGACAGGUUGGAAGUGAAAUCCAUGGGCUCAACCCAUGAACUGCUUUCAAAACUGUUUUUCUUUGAGUAGUGCAGAGGUAGGCGGAAUUCCCGGUGUAGCGGUGAAAUGCGUAGAGAUCGGGAGGAACACCAGUGGCGAAGGCGGCCUACUGGGCUUUAACUGACGCUGAGGCACGAAAGUGUGGGUAGCAAACA